This 207-nucleotide unclassified non-coding RNA is filed under the name Hevea brasiliensis (rubber tree). Lineage: Eukaryota; Viridiplantae; Streptophyta; Magnoliopsida; Malpighiales; Euphorbiaceae. The record is from RNAcentral.
GUUGAAACCAAUUCCUUUUGCAAAAGAAGACAUGUAUCCCAAUAUUCCUUGAAGGUUGUAAAAGCAUUCCCAUUUUCAUCAUAUACGUCCCAUGGCUCAUAUAAAAGAUCUGCAUUGUAGCUCUGCACAGAAAUUCCGAGUUCAACUAGUUUUUCUUUAAUAUUGUGGUCUCGGACAAGUGAAAUGGGAUCGUAGAGACAGUUAAAU